RNAcentral lists this transfer RNA (59 nucleotides) under Rhodospirillum rubrum. Its description in RNAcentral is "tRNA-Val". It matches the Rfam family "tRNA", at positions 8 to 59 of the family's 71-position model. From Rfam's summary of the family: Transfer RNA (tRNA) molecules are approximately 80 nucleotides in length. The record is from RNAcentral. Lineage: Bacteria; Pseudomonadati; Pseudomonadota; Alphaproteobacteria; Rhodospirillales; Rhodospirillaceae.
GCGGUUAGCUCAGCUGGGAGAGCAUCUGGUUUACACCCAGAGGGUCGGCGGUUCGAACC